Molecule: ribosomal RNA, 254 nt
Filed under: uncultured bacterium
Lineage: Bacteria
Description: partial 16S ribosomal RNA
Rfam family: Bacterial small subunit ribosomal RNA
Source: RNAcentral
UACGUAGGAGGCAAGCGUUUGUCCGGAAUUACUGGGCGUAAAGCGUGCGUAGACGGUAGCGUAAGUCGGGUGUGAAAGCCCCGGGCUCAACCUGGGAAUUGCAUUCGAGACUGCUCUGCUAGGGUGCGGAAGAGGGAAGCGGAAUUUCCGGUGUAGCGGUGAAAUGCGUAGAUAUCGGAAGGAACACCAGUGGCGAAAAGCGGCUUCCUGGUCCAGUACCGACGUCAGGCACGAAAGCGUGGGGAGCAAACAGG